Molecule: ribosomal RNA, 366 nt
Filed under: uncultured Enterobacteriaceae bacterium
Lineage: Bacteria; Pseudomonadati; Pseudomonadota; Gammaproteobacteria; Enterobacterales; Enterobacteriaceae
Description: bacterial SSU rRNA
Rfam family: Bacterial small subunit ribosomal RNA
Source: RNAcentral
GCCUUCGGGAACCGUGAGACAGGUGCUGCAUGGCUGUCGUCAGCUCGUGUUGUGAAAUGUUGGGUUAAGUCCCGCAACGAGCGCAACCCUUAUCCUUUGUUGCCAGCGGUCCGGCCGGGAACUCAAAGGAGACUGCCAGUGAUAAACUGGAGGAAGGUGGGGAUGACGUCAAGUCAUCAUGGCCCUUACGACCAGGGCUACACACGUGCUACAAUGGCGCAUACAAAGAGAAGCGACCUCGCGAGAGCAAGCGGACCUCAUAAAGUGCGUCGUAGUCCGGAUUGGAGUCUGCAACUCGACUCCAUGAAGUCGGAAUCGCUAGUAAUCGUGGAUCAGAAUGCCACGGUGAAUACGUUCCCGGGCCUU